UACGAAGGGGGCUAGCGUUGCUCGGAUUUACUGGGCGUAAAGGGCGCGUAGGCGGACACUUAAGUCAGGGGUGAAAUCCCGGGGCUCAACCUCGGAACUGCCUUUGAUACUGGGUGUCUUGAGUGUGAGAGAGGUGUGUGGAACUCCGAGUGUAGAGGUGAAAUUCGUAGAUAUUCGGAAGAACACCAGUGGCGAAGGCGACACACUGGCUCAUUACUGACGCUGAGGCGCGAAAGCGUGGGGAGCAAACAGGAUUAGAUACCCUGGUAGUCCACGCCGUAAACGAUGAUUGCUAGUUGUCGGGAAGUUUACUUCUCGGUGACGCAGCUAACGCAUUAAGCAAUCCGCCUGGGGAGUACGGUCGCAAGAUUAAA
Molecule: ribosomal RNA, 374 nt
Filed under: uncultured bacterium
Lineage: Bacteria
Description: bacterial SSU rRNA
Rfam family: Bacterial small subunit ribosomal RNA
Source: RNAcentral